RNAcentral lists this transfer RNA (74 nucleotides) under Adiantum shastense. RNAcentral describes it as "tRNA-Val". It matches the Rfam family "tRNA". From Rfam's summary of the family: Transfer RNA (tRNA) molecules are approximately 80 nucleotides in length. Lineage: Eukaryota; Viridiplantae; Streptophyta; Polypodiopsida; Polypodiales; Pteridaceae. The record is from RNAcentral.
AGGGCUACAGCUCAGCGGUAGAGCGCCUCGCUUAAUAACCGAGAGUGUCUACGGUUCGAAUCCGUAUAGCCCUA